This 484-nucleotide ribosomal RNA is filed under the name uncultured bacterium. Its description in RNAcentral is "partial 16S ribosomal RNA". It matches the Rfam family "Bacterial small subunit ribosomal RNA", at positions 28 to 507 of the family's 1533-position model. The record is from RNAcentral.
AUUGAACGCUGGCGGCAUGCUUUACACAUGCAAGUCGAACGGCAGCGCGGGCUUCGGCCUGUCGGCGAGUGGCGAACGGGUGAGUAAUGCAUCGGAACGUGCCCAGCAGUGGUGGAUAGCCCGGCGAAAGCCGGAUUAAUACCGCAUACGACCUGAGGGUGAAAGCGGGGGACCGAAAGGUCUCGCGCUAUUGGAGCGGCCGAUGUCGGAUUAGCUAGUUGGUGGGGUAAAGGCUUACCAAGGCGACGAUCCGUAGCUGGUCUGAGAGGACGACCAGCCACACUGGGACUGAGACACGGCCCAGACUCCUACGGGAGGCAGCAGUGGGGAAUUUUGGACAAUGGGGGCAACCCUGAUCCAGCCAUGCCGCGUGCGGGAAGAAGGCCUUCGGGUUGUAAACCGCUUUUGUUCGGGAAGAAAUCCUCUGGGCUAAUACCCCGGGGGGAUGACGGUACCGGAAGAAUAAGCACCGGCUAACUACGUG